UACGUAGGGUGCAAGCGUUGUCCGGAAUUAUUGGGCGUAAAGAGCGCGCAGGCGGUCGUUCAAGUCGCGUGUGAAAGCCCCCGGCUCAACUGGGGAGGGUCACGCGAUACUGAUCGACUUGAAGGCAGGAGAGGGUAGUGGAAUUCCCGGUGUAGUGGUGAAAUGCGUAGAUAUCGGGAGGAACACCAGUGGCGAAGGCGACUCCCUGGACAGUUCUUGACGCUGAGGCGCGAAAGCUAGGGGAGCAAACGGG
Molecule: ribosomal RNA, 253 nt
Filed under: uncultured bacterium
Lineage: Bacteria
Description: partial 16S ribosomal RNA
Rfam family: Bacterial small subunit ribosomal RNA
Source: RNAcentral